AAACUAGAGAGUUUGAUCCUGGCUCAGAACGAACGCUGGCGGCGUGCCUAACACAUGCAAGUCGGACGAGAAAGCCCUCUUCGGAGGGUGAGUAAAGUGGCGCACGGGUGAGUAACACGUAGACAACCUGCCUUGCAGUCUGGGACAACCUUUCGAAAGAAGGGCUAAUACCGGAUAACAUCCCGCCCCGCAUGAGGUGGGAUUGAAAGAUUUAUCGCUGCAAGAGGGGUCUGUGGGACAUUAGCUUGUUGGUGAGGUAACGGCUCACCAAGGCUGCGAUGUCUAGCGGGUCUGAGAGGAUGAUCCGCCACACUGGAACUGAGACACGGUCCAGACUCCUACGGGAGGCAGCAGUGGGGAAUUUUGCGCAAUGGG
Molecule: ribosomal RNA, 375 nt
Filed under: SAR324 cluster bacterium
Lineage: Bacteria; Deltaproteobacteria
Description: bacterial SSU rRNA
Rfam family: Bacterial small subunit ribosomal RNA
Source: RNAcentral